UUUUUUCCUCCCUUCCUCCCCUCUGCCUCCCUCCACCUCCCCCUUUUCUUUUUUGCUGAAUCUUAUUGAUCCAGAAGGUGGCUAAUUAGCCCUUCCCGUCGUGCCUGGCUCCCACUUCCAGCGCGUCCCCUCCGACCGCUGCAGCCGCCACCGCCGCCGCCUCCUCCUCCUCCUCCUCCCGGCCGCAGCCGCCGCCGCCGCCUGCUUUGCAUCCCAAUUACAGCCUAGAGCCGCUGCCGC
This 240-nucleotide long non-coding RNA is filed under the name Homo sapiens (human). RNAcentral's name for it is "non-protein coding lnc-PMFBP1-7:1". Lineage: Eukaryota; Metazoa; Chordata; Mammalia; Primates; Hominidae. The record is from RNAcentral.